RNAcentral lists this long non-coding RNA (667 nucleotides) under Homo sapiens (human). Its description in RNAcentral is "non-protein coding LINC01440:3". The record is from RNAcentral. Lineage: Eukaryota; Metazoa; Chordata; Mammalia; Primates; Hominidae.
GAAGAUUCUAGAGAAGACAAAAUAACCCAAAGAAAAGAAGUAUGGAAGGCAGGGGUAGCAAGGCGGAGCUGUGCCCUGUCACGGCACACAGAGAAUGCCCAUGGAUUUUCACAAAUGCUGUUAAAAUGUGAAAAGAAGGUGUUUCUUUUUUCUUCAAUCUGAGCUUCAAGCUAAUAUGGGCAUUCAGCUAAAUCCCUCCUGGGUCCUGAAACAGUAUGUGGUUUUGGAUUUCAAAGAUAAUCCCUACAACUUCUGGGAGAGGUGCAAGUAUCAACCAGUUGGAGACACAGGGAAAGGGUGAUAUAAUGCAGAAAGUGACUUGAACAAAUUUACACAGAAGGCAGUGAAGUGUGAUUCAAAUUCAAGCAGUCUAGACUGUGCCCCACACAACUCUGCAGCAUAACCUUGCAGUAUGAAAAUAAUGCCUCUCAUGCAGAUCAGGGAUAUGAGAUCCAGUGACUUACCCAAAGUUUCAAAGGAAAGAUGUAACAGAGCCAUCUCUGAACUUCUGCUCUUGGGAAUCUACACACUCUUUCCACUAGUUCUGACCUUAGCAGGUGUUUGACCCAGGACUUGCCCAACUUGGUUUCCAUUUGUAUAGAACUAAUGCCAAAUUUCAAAAGAAAAUAUUACAUACCAUAAUCAAUAAAAACAAAAUAUCAAACAU